UGGCGGGGCAACGGCCCACCAAGGCGACGAUCGGUAGCCGGCCUGAGAGGGUGAUCGGCCACAUUGGGACUGAGAUACGGCCCAGACUCUACGGGAGGCAGCAGUAGGGAAUAUUGCACAAUGGGGGAAACCCUGAUGCAGCAACGCCACGUGUGGGAAGAAGCAUUUCGGUGUGUAAACCACUGUCAUGAGGGAAUAAGGCUCCCUCCGGGCGGGAUUGAAUGUACCUUGAGAGGAAGCACCGGCAAAUUCGUGCCAGCAGCCGCGGUAAUACGAGGGGUGCAAGCGUUGUUCGGAAUUACUGGGCGUAAAGGGAGCGUAGGCGGAGAUUCAAGCGGAUUGUACAAUCCCGGGGCCCAACCCCGGCUCUGCAGUCCGAACUGGAUCUCUUGGAUAGUUCAGGGGCAGGCGGAAUUCCUGG
This 421-nucleotide ribosomal RNA is filed under the name uncultured Fibrobacter sp. RNAcentral describes it as "bacterial SSU rRNA". It matches the Rfam family "Bacterial small subunit ribosomal RNA", at positions 250 to 673 of the family's 1533-position model. Lineage: Bacteria; Pseudomonadati; Fibrobacterota; Fibrobacteria; Fibrobacterales; Fibrobacteraceae. The record is from RNAcentral.